RNAcentral lists this ribosomal RNA (423 nucleotides) under uncultured bacterium. Its description in RNAcentral is "bacterial SSU rRNA". It matches the Rfam family "Bacterial small subunit ribosomal RNA", at positions 207 to 622 of the family's 1533-position model. The record is from RNAcentral.
AAGACCUUGCACUUUUGGAGCGGCCGAUGUCUGAUUAGCUAGUUGGUGGGGUAAUGGCCCACCAAAGCUUCGAUCAGUAGCUGGUCUGAGAGGACGGCCAGCCACACUGGGACUGAGACACGGCCCAGACUCCUACGGGAGGCAGCAGUGGGGAAUUUUGGACAAUGGGCGCAAGCCUGAUCCAGCCAUGCCGCGUGAGUGAAGAAGGCCUUCGGGUUGUAAAGCUCUUUCAGGCGGGAAGAAAAGGUUGCGACUAAUAAUCGCAAUUCAUGACGGUACCGGAAGAAGAAGCACCGGCUAACUACGUGCCAGCAGCCGCGGUAAUACGUAGGGUGCGAGCGUUAAUCGGAAUUACUGGGCGUAAAGGGUGCGCAGGCGGUUUUGUAAGUCAGAUGUGAAAUCCCCGGGCUUAACCUGGGAACU